Molecule: ribosomal RNA, 497 nt
Filed under: uncultured bacterium
Lineage: Bacteria
Description: partial 16S ribosomal RNA
Rfam family: Bacterial small subunit ribosomal RNA
Source: RNAcentral
GAUGAACGCUGGCGGCGUGCCUAAUACAUGCAAGUCGAGCGAACAGACGAGGAGCUUGCUCCUCUGACGUUAGCGGCGGACGGGUGAGUAACACGUGGAUAACCUACCUAUAAGACUGGGAUAACGUCGGGAAACCGGAGCUAAUACCGGAUAAUAUAUUGAACCGCAUGGUUCAAUAGUGAAAGACGGUUUUGCUGUCACUUAUAGAUGGAUCCGCGCCGCAUUAGCUAGUUGGUAAGGUAACGGCUUACCAAGGCAACGAUGCGUAGCCGACCUGAGAGGAUGAUCGGCCACACUGGAACUGAGACACGGUCCAGACUCCUACGGGAGGCAGCAGUAGGGAAUCUUCCGCAAUGGGCGAAAGCCUGACCGAGCAACGCCGCGUGAGUGAUGAAGGUCUUCGGAUCGUAAAACUCUGUUAUUAGGGAAGAACAAAUGUGUAAGUAACUAUGCACGUCUUGACGGUACCUAAUCAGAAAGCCACGGCUAACUACGUG